Molecule: ribosomal RNA, 233 nt
Filed under: uncultured bacterium
Lineage: Bacteria
Description: partial 16S ribosomal RNA
Rfam family: Bacterial small subunit ribosomal RNA
Source: RNAcentral
UGAGCAAUCUGCCCUUCUCAUCGGAAUAAGCGUGGGAAACCGCGUCUAAUGCCGAAUACGACCUCCUUUCGCAUGAUCGGAGGUGGAAAGCUCCGGCGGAGAAGGAUGAGCUCGCGGCCUAUCAGCUAGUUGGUGUGGGUAAUGGCCCACAAGGCGACGACGGGUAGCCGGCCUGAGAGGGUGACCCGGCCACACUGGGACUGAGACACGGCCCAGACUCCGUACGGGAGCAG